GAUGAACGCUGGCGGCGUGCUUAACACAUGCAAGUCGAACGGAAAGGCCAGUGCUUGCACUGGUGCUCGAGUGGCGAACGGGUGAGUAACACGUGGGUGAUCUGCCCUGCACUUUGGGAUAAGCCUGGGAAACUGGGUUUAAUACCAGAUAGGACCAUGCUUUGGAUGGUGUGGUGGAAAGUUUUUUCGGUGUGGGAUGAGCUUGCGGCCUAUCAGCUUGUUGGUGGGGUAAUGGCCUACCAAGGCGUCGACGGGUAGCCGGCCUGAGAGGGUGUACGGCCACAUUGGGACUGAGAUACGGCCCAGACUCCUACGGGAGGCAGCAGUGGGGAAUAUUGCACAAUGGGCGCAAGCCUGAUGCAGCGACGCCGCGUGGGGGAUGACGGCCUUCGGGUUGUAAACUCCUUUCGCAACUGACGAAGCUUUUUGUGACGGUAGGUUGAGAAGAAGCACCGGCUAACUACGUG
This 467-nucleotide ribosomal RNA is filed under the name uncultured bacterium. Its description in RNAcentral is "partial 16S ribosomal RNA". It matches the Rfam family "Bacterial small subunit ribosomal RNA", at positions 28 to 507 of the family's 1533-position model. The record is from RNAcentral.